AACACAACGAACCUCACAAGAGUUUUAUAAUCAUCAACCAAGAGAAUGCCAUGUGAGAUGAGUGAACAAAACACCUUGAUGAAGUUGGAAAACCAAGUUUUGAAAAGUCCUCCUAGGAAU
Long non-coding RNA from Oxyura jamaicensis (ruddy duck), 120 nucleotides. RefSeq lists it as uncharacterized. Lineage: Eukaryota; Metazoa; Chordata; Aves; Anseriformes; Anatidae. The transcript is spliced from 3 exons. The record is from RefSeq and is a predicted model, not a curated record.